GCUGUAUAUUUUUAUCAUUUUAAAGAAGUGUCUUUGUAAUCCUGGUUUUCAGAGAGCUUUUAUUUAAAAUUGCUUAUUCCAUUUUACAGAAUGCCUUUUGGACGUUUUAUAUUAUAAGGUUUGUCUUAUUUGAUCCAUUGAUGUGCCAUAUUAGAUUUCUUAAUAUUAAAUUUUUCUAGCAUAGCACAAUAAUUAUGACUUGGUUAUGGUGGAUUAUGCCCUUUAUGGUAUCUUUGAAUUUAAUUUGCUAGCAUUUUAUUUGGAAUAUUUUCAUUUGCAUUUAUAAGUGACAACGAUUGAUAGGUGCCCUCACAUGCGUGUGUGUGAGUGUGCGCAUGCGCUUUCACACAAGCUAUUAUUGUCAGGCACGGACCAGGAUUUUUCUUUUUUUUUUUUCUUUCCAACUUUUAUUUUACGUUCAAGGGGUACCUGUGCAGGUUUGUUACACGGGGAAAUUGUGUGUUGCAGGGAUUUGGUAUACAGAUAAUUUUGACACUCAGGUAAGCAGAAUAAUAUCCGAUAGGUUGUUUUUCAGUCCUCACCCUUCUCCCAUCCUUCACCCUCAGUUAGGCCCCGACGUCUAUUGUUCCCUUCUUUGUGUUCAUGUGUACUCAAUGUUUAACUCCCACAUAUAAGUGAGAAUAUGCGGCAUUUGGUUUUCUGUUCCUGCGUUAAUUUGCUUAGGAUUGUGGCCUCCGGCUCCAUCCACGUUGCUGCAAAGACUAUGAUCUCAAUUUUUUUUAUAGUUGCGUAGUAUUCUUUAGUGUAUACAUACUGCAUUUUCUUUAUCCAGUCCACUUUUGGUGGCCACCUGGGUUGAUUCCACGUCUUUGCUAUUGUGAAUAGUGCUGCAGUGAACAUAGGUGUGCAUGUGUCUUCAGGGUAGAACGACUUAUAUUUCUGUGGGUAAAUGGAAUUGCUGGGUCAAACGGUAAUUCUAUUUUAAAUUCUUUGAGAAGUCUCCAAACAGAACAGGACUUUUCUGAGUAGAGUGUUAAAUAUGUGGACAAAAACUGAUGGAACUGCAAGAAUCAAUAGACAAUGCAUAUUUAUAGUUAGAGAUUUCAAUACCUUUCUCAAUAACUGAAAAAACAGAAAAUCUGUGAGAAUAUAUACAAUUUGAACAGCACUAUCAACUAAUUUGACCUAAUUGACAUUUGCAGAACACUCCACCCAACAACAGCAGAGUUCAUAUUCUCUUACAAUUCAUAUGUAGCAUUUAUCAAAAUAGGCUACAUUCUUAAGUUCAGGUCUUCAGGUCUUUUGUCAGCUUUAUACCUAAAGUUUUUAUAUUUUUGAUGAUGUCAAAUGUAUUGUUAAGUUUCAUGUUCUGAUUGUUGUUAGUUUAUAGAAAGACAAUUGAUAUUUGUGCACUGCAUUUAUAUCCUGCAACUGCUAAACACAUAUUAAGUUUAGGACCUUUUUUUAUAGAUUUUGUAACAUUAUCGGGACAGUUGAUAAUGUCAUUUGUGAAUAAAGAAAGUUUACUUCUUCCUUUCAAUCUGGAUGCAUUUUAUUUCUUUUUUCUUGUAUUAU
Molecule: long non-coding RNA, 1536 nt
Filed under: Homo sapiens (human)
Lineage: Eukaryota; Metazoa; Chordata; Mammalia; Primates; Hominidae
Description: HSALNT0146047
Source: RNAcentral